Long non-coding RNA from Pocillopora damicornis (cauliflower coral), 471 nucleotides. NCBI's taxonomy places the organism in Eukaryota, Metazoa, Cnidaria, Anthozoa, Scleractinia, Pocilloporidae. The record is from RefSeq and is a predicted model, not a curated record.
CGAAGACUGUUGUAUGACAGCGAGACAAGCUGAAUAGCUGGAGAUGAAGAGACGGGUUUAAUAUACUGCCUCGCCUGAAAUUAUUUUCCAAGUGUUUAUAUUUUCAUGGUUUCACGUGGCCCGAACACGUAGACAGACUGGGUCGAGUGCCCAAUGAGCACGACUCGUGCUCAGGGUUUUACUUUCAAUGAAAUUCAUGAUAGAGGACAAGGAGGAAAGAUUGCGAGGAAAGCAUUUGACUCUAUUGGCCUCGUCUCCCUCUUACAUGUAUGGAGCUGCAGCCGGUGUUGCUCAACUCCUCCCCUGCAAUGCAUUCAAAAGGGGGCAAGGAAUGGACCGAGCUGCUUAUAUUCAAUUGACCUCAGAUGAUACUUUAAAUCCCGCUGAGUUGCCGUAGUUUUGCCCCAAAUGCACAGGUGAAUUCAAGCAGUCUGAAUGUCCCGCAAAAUAUUAUUGCUUUUGUGAAAAGCA